This 405-nucleotide ribosomal RNA is filed under the name uncultured bacterium. RNAcentral describes it as "partial 16S ribosomal RNA". It matches the Rfam family "Bacterial small subunit ribosomal RNA", at positions 30 to 526 of the family's 1533-position model. The record is from RNAcentral.
AUUGAACGCUAGCGGGAUGCUUUACACAUGCAAGUCGAACGAGUGGCGGACGGGUGAGUAAUAUAUCGGAACGUGCCCAGUAGCGGGGGAUAACUACUCGAAAGAGUGGCUAAUACCGCAUAAUAUCGGAGAGGCCGAUAUUGUAUUAGCUAGUUGGUGGGGUAACGGCUCACCAAGGCAACGAUGCGUAGCUGGUGUGAGAGGACGACCAGCCAAACUGGGACUGAGACACGGCCGAGACUCCUACGUGAGGCAGCAGUGGGGAAUCUUGGACAAUGGGGGAAAUCCUGAUCCAGCCAUCCCGCGUGUAUGAGAAGGCCUUCGGGUUGUAAAGUACUUUUGGCAGGGAAGCGGUAUCUGCAGAAUAAGCACCGGCUAACUACGUGCCAGCAGCCGCGGUAAUUC